This 467-nucleotide ribosomal RNA is filed under the name uncultured bacterium. RNAcentral describes it as "partial 16S ribosomal RNA". It matches the Rfam family "Bacterial small subunit ribosomal RNA", at positions 28 to 506 of the family's 1533-position model. The record is from RNAcentral.
GACGAACGCUGGCGGCGUGCUUAACACAUGCAAGUCGAACGGAAAGGCCCUGCUUUUGUGGGGUGCUCGAGUGGCGAACGGGUGAGUAACACGUGAGUAACCUGCCCUUGACUUUGGGAUAACUUCAGGAAACUGGGGCUAAUACCGGAUAGGAGCUCCUGCUGCAUGGUGGGGGUUGGAAAGUUUCGGCGGUUGGGGAUGGACUCGCGGCUUAUCAGCUUGUUGGUGGGGUAGUGGCUUACCAAGGCUUUGACGGGUAGCCGGCCUGAGAGGGUGACCGGCCAAAUUGGGAAUGGGGUACGGCCAAGACUCCUACGGGAGGCAGGAGUGGGGAAUAUUGCAAAAUGGGCGGAAGCCGGAUGCAGCAACGCCGCGGGGGGGAUGGCGGCCUUCGGGUGGUAAACCGCUUUCGCCUGUGACGAAGCGUGAGUGGCGGUAAGGGGUAAAGAAGCACCGGCUAAUUACGG